GUCUGUAUGGUUGUUAUAUAGAGUCUGACCUGCCCACUGAUAUAAAUUAAAGGGCCGCGGUAUUUUGACCGUGCGAAGGUAGCAUAAUCAUUAGUCUUUUAAUUGAAGGCUUGUAUGAAUGGUUGGACAAAAAGUGAGCUGUCUCUGCCGUAGUUUUUGAAUUUAACUUUUAAGUGAAAAGGCUUAAAUAAUCUGGGGGGACGAUAAGACCCUAUAAAGCUUUACAAUAAAAGGGAUGUGGUGUAAUUUGUUAGUUUAACUUAAUUCAUCCUAAGAUUGUUUCGUUGGGGCGACGAGAAUAUAAUUUAAAUAACUGUUCUUUCGCGAAGGGCAACAAUAUUGGUUGGGCGAAAAUUGAUCCUUUAUUAGAGAUUAAAAGAUUAAGUUACUUUAGGGAUAACAGCGUAAUCUUCCUUAAGAGUUCAUAUCGACAGGAAGGGUUGCGACCUCGAUGUUGAAUUAAGGGGUCCUUGUGGUGCAGCAGUUGCAAAGGAGGGUCUGUUCGACCUUUAAAUCCUU
This 519-nucleotide ribosomal RNA is filed under the name Benthoecetes bartletti. RNAcentral's name for it is "partial large subunit ribosomal RNA". It matches the Rfam family "Bacterial large subunit ribosomal RNA", at positions 1829 to 2597 of the family's 2925-position model. Lineage: Eukaryota; Metazoa; Arthropoda; Malacostraca; Decapoda; Benthesicymidae. The record is from RNAcentral.